This is a long non-coding RNA of Gopherus evgoodei (Goodes thornscrub tortoise), 99 nucleotides long. RefSeq lists it as uncharacterized. Lineage: Eukaryota; Metazoa; Chordata; Testudines; Testudinidae. The record is from RefSeq and is a predicted model, not a curated record. The transcript is spliced from 3 exons.
GGGAGGGAAGAUCUUCUAGAACAUAAGAAUUGUCAUACUGAUUCAGACCAAUGGUCCAUCUAGCCCAGUAUUCUGUCUUCCGACAGUGGCCAAUGCAGG